RNAcentral lists this ribosomal RNA (503 nucleotides) under uncultured bacterium. Its description in RNAcentral is "partial 16S ribosomal RNA". It matches the Rfam family "Bacterial small subunit ribosomal RNA", at positions 30 to 523 of the family's 1533-position model. The record is from RNAcentral.
AUUGAACGCUGGCGGCAGGCUUAACACAUGCAAGUCGAGCGGGGUGAUGGUGCUUGCACUAUCACUUAGCGGCGGACGGGUGAGUAAUGCUUAGGAAUCUGCCUAUUAGUGGGGGACAACAUCUCGAAAGGGAUGCUAAUACCGCAUACGUCCUACGGGAGAAAGCAGGGGAUCACUUGUGACCUUGCGCUAAUAGAUGAGCCUAAGUCGGAUUAGCUAGUUGGUGGGGUAAAGGCCUACCAAGGCGACGAUCUGUAGCGGGUCUGAGAGGAUGAUCCGCCACACUGGGACUGCGACACGGCCCAGACUCCUACGGGAGGCAGCAGGGGGGAAUAUUGGACAAUGGGGGGAACCCUGAUCCAGCCAUGCCGCGUGUGUGAAGAAGGCCUUAUGGUUGUAAAGCACUUUAAGCGAGGAGGAGGCUCUUUUGGUUAAUACCCAAGAUGAGUGGACGUUACUCGCAGAAUAAGCACCGGCUAACUCUGUGCCAGCAGCCGCCGUAA